CGUGGCAUGCGGAUGAUCGCCUCCCGCUUUGCGGGGGGAGGAAAGUCCGGACUCCCCCUUGGUUCGCCCAAGGGAAAGAAAGCAGUGGGUAAUGCCCACCGUCCCGGCGAGUCGGGACAGGGAAAGUGCCACAGAGACAAUACUACCACAUAUCUAUUUUGAUAGGUGUAUGGGAAAGGUGAAAAGUCGUCCGGUGCGCGAAAAGCGCUACGGGCCUCGCUCCCUGGUGACAGGGAUGCGCGGUAAACCCUGCUUGGAGCAAGGACAAACUCUCGUACUUUCGGGUACGGGUAUGAAAAGUAGUCCGCUUGAUCCCGAGGAGAAAUCCACGGGACAGAUAAAUGAUCAUCCACCUGCAAAAUGGGCGGGGGACAGAAUCCGGCUUAUAGCUUGCCUCGAAGG
RNAcentral lists this RNase P RNA (402 nucleotides) under bacterium. RNAcentral describes it as "RNase P RNA component class A". It matches the Rfam family "Bacterial RNase P class A". From Rfam's summary of the family: Ribonuclease P (RNase P) is a ubiquitous endoribonuclease, found in archaea, bacteria and eukarya as well as chloroplasts and mitochondria. Its best characterised activity is the generation of mature 5'-ends of tRNAs by cleaving the 5'-leader elements of precursor-tRNAs. The record is from RNAcentral.